UCCCAGGGACACCCAGCC
Molecule: unclassified non-coding RNA, 18 nt
Filed under: Mus musculus (house mouse)
Lineage: Eukaryota; Metazoa; Chordata; Mammalia; Rodentia; Muridae
Description: oocyte_clustered_small_RNA12042
Source: RNAcentral